AAUAAAUUUUUUAUGAUUUUGGAAAUUUUUUUUAAGUUUAUUUUACAUAUAAAUUUUAGUAUUAAAUUUUAAUUAUUUUAAUAAUAAUUAAUUUAUUUUAAUAGUAAUUAACAUUAAUAAAUUUAAGAAAUUAAGAUUUAGUAAUAUAAAAAUUAAUAACAAAUUUUGUGCCAGCAGUUGCGGUUAAACAAAAGUUAAAUUAAAUUUUAUUAGCAUAUUAAUAAAUAUAAUUAAUUUAUUUAAUUUAAAUAAUAAAUUAUUAGGUGAAAUUAUAAUUUAUUUAAAAAUUAUUAAAAUUAUAUGAUUUAAUAAAUUUUAUUAUAAACUAGGAUUAGAUACCCUAUUAUUAAAAAUUUAAAUAAAAAUACUAAAAUAGUAUAUAAUUAUUUAUUGAAACUUAAAUAAUUUGGCGGUAUUUUAGUUCAUUUAGAGGAAUCUGUUUAUUAAUUGAUAAUCCACGAAUAAUUUUACUUAAUUAAUAAUUUUGUAUAUCGUUGUUAAAAAAAUAUUUUUAAAUAAAUUUAAUAUUUUAAAAUUUAGAAUAAAAAUUAAAUCAGAUCAAGAUGCAGAUUAUAAUUAAGAAUAUAAUGGAUUACAAUAAAUUUAUUUAUAUGAAUAUUUAAUUGAAAAAUUAAAUUGAAAGUGGAUUUAAAUGUAAUUUUAUUUAGUUUAUUAAAAUGAUUUAAAAUUAAAAUAUGUACAUAUUGCCCGUCGCUUUCAUUUAUAAAUUGAAAUAAGUCGUAACAAAGUAGAGGUACUGGAAAGUGUUUCUAGAAAGAC
Molecule: non-coding RNA, 780 nt
Filed under: Jankowskia athleta
Lineage: Eukaryota; Metazoa; Arthropoda; Insecta; Lepidoptera; Geometridae
Also listed under: 1 other name
Source: RNAcentral